RNAcentral lists this ribosomal RNA (600 nucleotides) under Triticum aestivum (bread wheat). RNAcentral's name for it is "partial small subunit ribosomal RNA". Lineage: Eukaryota; Viridiplantae; Streptophyta; Magnoliopsida; Poales; Poaceae. The record is from RNAcentral.
AUGAGUCGACCUGAUGGGAUCAACAUCCCCGAUGACAAGUUCUACCUUGAAGAUGCUGGCUAUGCAUGUCGGCCGGGUAUUCUUCCACCCUUCAGGAAAACCAGGUACCAUCUCAACAAGUUCUCUGUUAGGAACUAUACUAGGACUGCACAGGAGCUGUAUAAUCUCAGACACUCCAGCCUUAGAGUAACUGUUGAGAGGGCAUAUGGAGCUCUGAAGAAUAGGUUUAAGAUCCUGGAUCAGAAGCCAUUCCACCCAUACCCCACUCAGGUUAAGCUUGUUCUUGCUUGUUGCAUUCUGCAUAACUGGAUCCUCCAGAUGAACACAUGCCUGAGGAGGAAAAUGUCGAGCCUAACGGUGUUGUUAGCUCCGGCCAUGGUGUGGAAGCAUUUGUCAAUGACGCUUGGAAGAACAAAAGGUUGGAGUGGGCAGAGGCAAUGUGGCUUAACAGAGGUCAGUGCAGGAUUUGAAGAAGAGGAAGAAGAACAAGAAGCAGCAGCAGAAGCAGAAGAAGAGGAAGAGGAAGAUCUGGUAGCAGCAAUACCGAUGAACUAUCCCCUAUUUAGCCAAUGGCUCUUAAUAAUUUUAACUGUCAUUUGA